This 504-nucleotide ribosomal RNA is filed under the name uncultured Geobacter sp. Its description in RNAcentral is "bacterial SSU rRNA". It matches the Rfam family "Bacterial small subunit ribosomal RNA", at positions 335 to 831 of the family's 1533-position model. The record is from RNAcentral. Lineage: Bacteria; Pseudomonadati; Thermodesulfobacteriota; Desulfuromonadia; Geobacterales; Geobacteraceae.
ACUCCUACGGGAGGCAGCAGUGGGGAAUUUUGCGCAAUGGGGGAAACCCUGGCGCAGCAACGCCGCGUGAGUGAUGAAGGCCUUCGGGUCGUAAAGCUCUGUCAAGAGGGAAGAACUGUGGGCGGCUAAUAUCCGUACCACUUGACGGUACCUCUGGAGGAAGCACCGGCUAACUCCGUGCCAGCAGCCGCGGUAAUACGGAGGGUGCGAGCGUUGUUCGGAAUUAUUGGGCGUAAAGCGCGUGUAGGCGGUCUUGUAAGUCUGAUGUGAAAGCCCUGGGCUCAACCUGGGAAGUGCAUUGGAAACUGUGAGACUUGAGUACGGGAGAGGGCAGUGGAAUUCCUAGUGUAGGAGUGAAAUCCGUAGAUAUUAGGAGGAACACCGGUGGCGAAGGCGGCUGCCUGGACCGAUACUGACGCUGAGACGCGAAAGCGUGGGGAGCAAACAGGACUAGAUACCCUGGUAGUCCACGCCGUAAACGAUGAGAACUAGGUGUCGCGGGUA